This 400-nucleotide ribosomal RNA is filed under the name uncultured Pseudomonas sp. Its description in RNAcentral is "bacterial SSU rRNA". It matches the Rfam family "Bacterial small subunit ribosomal RNA", at positions 965 to 1364 of the family's 1533-position model. Lineage: Bacteria; Pseudomonadati; Pseudomonadota; Gammaproteobacteria; Pseudomonadales; Pseudomonadaceae. The record is from RNAcentral.
GAAACCUUCCGGCUUUUCAUUUCUUGGAAUUUCUCAGAGAGGAUUGGUUCCCUUGGGGACUGGAAAACAGGGGGCGCAUGGGGGUUGUCAGCUCUUGUUUUGAGAAGUUGGGUUAAAUCCCCCAACGAGCCCAACCCUUUUCCUUUGUUUCCAGCACGUUAGGGUGGGCACUUUAAGGAGACUGCCGGUGACAAACCGGAGGAAGGUGGGGAUGACGUCAAGUCAUCAUGGCCCUUACGGCCAGGGCUACACACGUGCUACAAUGGUCGGUACAAAGGGUAGCCAAGCCGCGAGGUGGAGCCAAUCCCAAAAACCCGAUCGUAGUCCGGAUUGCAGUCUGCAACUCGAUCCAUGAAGUCGGAAUCGCUAGUAAUCGCGAUCAGCAUGAUGCGCAUGCCAA